This 264-nucleotide unclassified non-coding RNA is filed under the name uncultured fungus. Its description in RNAcentral is "partial contains 5.8S ribosomal RNA, internal transcribed spacer 2, and large subunit ribosomal RNA". The stretch from base 1 to 52 matches the Rfam family "5.8S ribosomal RNA", at positions 103 to 154 of the family's 154-position model. Lineage: Eukaryota; Fungi. The record is from RNAcentral.
AACGCACAUUGCGCCCGCCAGUAUUCUGGCGGGCAUGCCUGUUCGAGCGUCAUUUCAACCCUCAAGCCCCCCCGGGGGCUUGGUGUUGGGGACCGGCCCUGCCUCGUCGCGGGCGCCGCCCCCCAAAUCCAUUGGCGGUCUCGCCGCAGCCUCCUCUGCGUAGUAAUUUUGCACCUCGCACCGGAGCGCGGCUCGGCCACGCCGUAAAACCCCAACUUCUGAAAUGUUGACCUCGGAUCAGGUAGGAAUACCCGCUGAACUUAA